UACGGAGGGUGCAAGCGUUAUCCGGAUUUACUGGGUUUAAAGGGUGUGUAGGCGGGGCUUUAAGUCAGUGGUGAAAUCUCCGAGCUUAACUUGGAAACUGCCAUUGAUACUAUUGAUCUUGAAUUCUGUUGAGGUGGGCGGAAUAUGUCAUGUAGCGGUGAAAUGCAUAGAUAUGACAUAGAACACCAAUUGCGAAGGCAGCUCACUAAGCAGAUAUUGACGCUGAGGCACGAAAGCGUGGGGAUCAAACAGG
This 253-nucleotide ribosomal RNA is filed under the name uncultured bacterium. RNAcentral's name for it is "partial 16S ribosomal RNA". It matches the Rfam family "Bacterial small subunit ribosomal RNA", at positions 524 to 776 of the family's 1533-position model. The record is from RNAcentral.